AUGAUUCGAACUCGGCGAAACCCACCCAUUUGUCCUCAGCGAAAUCCAUCUCUACAAAACCCAAGUUCCAUCAUCGACCACCAGGUUAUGCAAGGAUUGAUUAUGGGAAUAUUGUUGGUGGUGGAUCGUCAUCAUCAGCUGGGUUUGUAAAAUAUGCUAGUUCUGUCUACUACUUUAUUUUUUGUAUUGUCUCCAAUAACUGGUUAUAUAUAAAAAGUUAGAGAGUUGAAAAUUAAAACGGUAUUUUCUAUGAGGCCUAUUUUUUCAUUUUUAUGGUUGUAAAAUAUGCUAAUCUAUUUUAUUGUACAAAAAGACUGUAGCAUACCUUGCUUUGAUUUAGUUUUGUUCAUAGAAUAAUGUAUAUAAAAUGUUGCUUAUGUGAUAUUAAUGCUUGAUGCCUGUUCACAAGAGAGAAGAUCAAAUGUUGUGAACAACAGAAGAGACAUGCGUGGGGAGGAAACCAACAGAGGAAUCUCAUGCCUCCUUAG
RNAcentral lists this long non-coding RNA (488 nucleotides) under Prunus dulcis (almond). Its description in RNAcentral is "sRNA ncRNA". Lineage: Eukaryota; Viridiplantae; Streptophyta; Magnoliopsida; Rosales; Rosaceae. The record is from RNAcentral.